GACGAACGCUGGCGGCGUGCUUAACACAUGCAAGUCGAACGGAAAGGCCCUGCUUUUGUGGGGUGCUCGAGUGGCGAACGGGUGAGUAACACGUGAGUAACCUGCUCUUGACUUGGGGAUAACUUCAGGAAACUGGGGCUAAUACCGGAUAGGAGCUCCUGCUGCAUGGGGGGGGUUGGAAAGUUUCGGCGGUUGGGGAUGGACGCGCGGCUUAUCAGCUUGUUGGUGGGGUAGUGGCUUACCAAGGCUUUGACGGGUAGCCGGCCUGAGAGGGUGACCGGCCACAUUGGGACUGAGAUACGGCCCAGACUCCUACGGGAGGCAGCAGUGGGGAAUAUUGCACAAUGGGCGGAAGCCUGAUGCAGCAACGCCGCGUGCGGGAUGACGGCCUUCGGGUUGUAAACCGCUUUCGCCUGUGACGAAGCGUGAGUGACGGUAAUGGGUAAAGAAGCACCGGCUAACUACGUG
Molecule: ribosomal RNA, 468 nt
Filed under: uncultured bacterium
Lineage: Bacteria
Description: partial 16S ribosomal RNA
Rfam family: Bacterial small subunit ribosomal RNA
Source: RNAcentral